AUACCCAUGGCUGAUCAGCCUGUUGAAAAUCCUUCUCACCACCAUUGAGCAAAGAUGCCAAAAACAGGACAGGACCCUUCACAUCCUUGCCUAAUAUGCCCUGUCUACAGGAAAUACUUAACAACAGGAAGUCAGUGGGCUCCUGGGAAAUGUAGUUCUUUUUUAGGGUAACAGAUUUUUAAUUAUACAAUAAGCUUAAAUAAUAAAUGUGUAAUGGUGUGGAGUAGUAAAAAAAAAAACUGUUGUGGGAAAUUGGAAUGUUGGAACUGCAGUUGGAAACUGAACAAGGACUUCUGGGAAAUUCUCCUGAGGAGGGGGUCUUGAGUGCUGAGACAAAGAAAGGAGUGGAAGGAGGAGCUAUUUCUCUGGGUCAUUUUCAAGACACCUUUGGGGAUUUCUUAAUAUUGCUGAUUCUUGUUUAAAACAUCACUGGUUCCUGUCAAGAAACCUAAUUUUUUCAAAGACUUUCAUUUCCAUAAGCUAUUGAGAUAUUGGACUCAAAUUGAUUUAAUAAGAUGCAAGAUCACAGGAGAAGGGACCUUUUCAUUUUCUACAUGGGCAUUCCCAAGCAUCCGUAAGAGUUUUUUAAACAAGAUUCCUUCAAGUUUUCCAGGAUCACUGCUGCUUGGGGUAAAUUUAGAGGUUUGACUCAUAUAUUAUCCUUAUGGUUGCCAGGGAUUAAUUCAAAUCCCAUUAAAAAUUCUCAAGUCAGUUCAGGAAUUUUAUGGUGGCUUAAUUAAUAUAGAAGGAAGGAAUUAAGAAGAAAGAGGGAAAAGGGUAUAAGAUUUCUCCGGCCUAACCUGAGCCAAGGGGAGUUCAGAGACCUUCUAGCCACAAGGCCUCCUCCAAGAUGAGGGGCCUCCUAGGAGAAUAGUGUUUUUAGGAAAGGUAAAGGAAAAAAAGGAAUCAGCCUAAACUCCAUGAGAGCUCAGGGAAGAUGCCUCACCUGAACCACGCUACUAAGCUUCUCCCAGUUACCUCAUCAAGGACACUCACCAUGCAAACACGGACAAUAGCUUCAGCCAUGCCAAGACACCCAGCAUGCUGCCACCAGCCACCUCUCUGCCAUGAAAAAGAGAGCCACCUCUCCUCCAAAAGAGAGCCACCUCUCCGCCAAAAGAGACCGAAGUGAGGAAGUGACACAAAAUAUAUAGACCAUUUUUUACAUCACUUCCCGAGUCUCACAUGUACCAAUGGUAGCUUAAGCUUGACUUAAGACAGGCCAGGGGGUCUGUCAGUUGUUUCUGAUUUGUCAUUUGCACAUGUCUGUCAUAGGCCAUCCUUCUCAACAUUUAAUCUUCAAGUAGGGGUGUAGACAUUCCUGUUUGUUAGACUAAAUAGGGUGGAGUAAAUCUAAAAUUCACACUGCAUUGUCACUAAUGGAGAACUCCAUUGGGUAAUGUAGUUUUAGGGGUUCAAGAAUUUCUAAUUAUACAUAACCCCCCUGUGAUCCUGGUAGGAGACCAAUUGCCCUGAAAGGAUCAUAGAAAUUUAACUUGUAAAUUGCAAUAUUUUGUGGAUAAAAGGAAAAGAGAACAAAAUUAAUGAUUACUAAGCUGAUAAAAAGCCAAUUUGGGGGCAGUCCCUUUUGGCAUAAGAGCAUAAAUUCAAAACAAAAGCAUUUCAAACCCCAUAGUUCAAUUCACAUCACAAAGUUCACUGUGGAUCUUCUGGUGCAGCAUGUGGUCUCUGCAGUCAUCUUCAUUGUGCCUCCUAGAUGCUGGGAGGUAGCAAGUUUCUUAUCCUAAAAUUGCUCAAAUUCAAAUCAAAGUUCACAACAAUAAUUUGGUCCCCCUGAGAUGAAUAAUAACAAACACAGGGAUCAUCAGGAAUGCAUGGCUGAGCUAUGAGGUAUAUGAAUCAAUUUGCAAAAGAAAAUCAAAAACAUAAAAAACAUCCAAAUAAAAGAGAAAAAUAAGUUGUGGAUGCAAUACAAAACGCAAGUCAUAUGUCUAAAAAAUCUAAGUAAAGGAAAAACAAAUCUAUAACAGGUCCUUGAAUCAGGGCCCAAUUAAAAUGACUUAAGCAAUUAUGAACUUACCCAACCAGAAGCCAGGAUUAUAGAAAGUUUGCCACACUAUGAAAGACAGAAAAGGGAUUAGAUAUAAGCAGCAAAUGGGAGGCAGAAAGGCAGCAAAAAUGAGGUGCUUGAUAGAAUGUGGUUCAGAGGAAGUUCAGCCUCUGACAGAUUUCAAAAGUGACUUAACCUAGAAUCCCAAACUAGUUCAAGUCCUCUUGUCUUGGCUCAAAUUUAUAUCACUCCCACUGGGAUCUGGUCACUUUGACCUUGUGCUUGUAAAGAUUAAAAUUAAUAUCCAGUACUCCAAGUAUUAUAUUUAAUAAUGUUUAUUAAAUAUUUAUCUUGAAGUAUAAGGAAGAAAGGCUAGCAAAAGUUUUUAAAGGGAAAUUACAAUAAUUUGGGGAUAAGAGGAAAAAAAUGGAAAAGGAAUAAAACCAAUAAUAGGUGCAUUGACAAAAAGUCAAUUAGGGGGCAGUCCCCUUUGGCAUAAGAGUGUACAUUCAAAACAAAAGCAUUUUAAACCUCCCCCUCCCAGGUUCAAUUUUGCCAUAUCUCAAAGUUCACUCUGGAUCUUUUGGUACAGCAUGUGGUUUCUGCAGGUAUCUUCACAGCACCUUCUAGAUUCUGGGAGGUAGUCUCUUGUUCUAAAUUUGGUUCAAAUUCAAGUCAAAGUUCACAACAAUAAUGUAGUCCCCCCUGAGGAAAAUAAUAAUACAUUCCCACCUGAGAAGGAUAGGAAUAGGUAUGGUAGCAGAAGGAGAUUUCUUUGUAGUUGGGGCUGGUCAUGAGGUGGGAGAAAUGGCAGGAGAGGAUGGAGGGUUAGAAGAAGGAUCAGGGGAGGUAAGAUAAGUCAGGAGUUCCAGAGCAUGAGAGAUGUUGCAGAGUACAAGAGUGAAGGGUCUGCACCUGAUGUAUAAGAGAGGGGUAUCUCAUCUCCAUUUCAGGAGAAAAAAUAAUUGUCUUCUAUUUUUGGUUCAGGAGCAGGCUCACAAUAUUCAGACUUGUUUUGGGUGGGAUCAGUAUUUUUCAUUGGGUCAUGUAGGUGUUUGAAUUUUUUUUAUUUAAUUUUCUUGUCGGCCUGCAUUUCUACUUUAAUCACUCUGAUAAACACAUCUUUUGUCUUAAGAAUAAAGAUCAAGGGGAAAAUGUCUUAGGAGUACAAGGAAGAGGAGAGGAUUUAGAAUUUUACAUGCUUCUAAUUGGGCAAAAAACAAAAGGCUUUCAUGCACGGUAACAUUUAGGCUGCUUAGCAUUUUGAUCAAAAAGGGAAACAAUGUAUAUUUAUUUUUAUUGACUUAUUUUUCAAUUGUUAUUAUAAGGGGUGGGGUAGAAGAUGAGGGUAUUUAGCUUAUUUAAUUUUUUAUGAUUUUAUUGGAUUUAUGUUUUUUAAAAAGGGAAAAAUAUUUUUAAAUUCUUUUAAAAUUAUUUAUUUAUUUAUUGCUGUCAUCUAGUGGUAGCAAAAAACCACUGUAGCUAAGCAGGAAAAGGGGGAAAAAAAUAGAAGAGACAGAAAAGAAAAAAAAAGGAAGAGAGAAGAAAAAAAUAGUGCUCAAUAUUGACUUCUAGUGGCCAAGAGGCAGCACUACAAGUGGGAGGGUUAGGGGUGUGGUUUUUAGGGUAAGGGGUGUGGUUAGGACCUGCAAGAAACCAAAAGGGAGGAUAUGACUACAAAAUCUGGUGGAGACCAAGAGAUGGUAGUAAGGCAAAUUUGGUAAAGCAAGGAGGGGUAGGAGUUAAACUGGGGUGGUUUAAAAGAGGGCUAAGGCCCUCCCAGUCAAGGCAAAGAGCCUAGUGGAACCUAGGGGGCAAUCAGCUAUCCAGCAGGGAAAGAGCCUUCCCUCCCAUGCUGUCUGGGGAAAGGGAAGCUUAUAUUCAUCAGCUGGAAUGGAGAUCAGGGCAGCAGAAGCGGUAGUAGAAGCAGCAGAAGCAGCAGCAUCGUGGGGGUGGGGGCCAGGCUGGAACUAGCUCUGGCUAAGGAAAAAUAAAACCCAACAGAGGCUUUGGGCCUUGGGUAGGAGAAGCCAAGCCAGGUGUGACUAAGCUUCAGCAGCUGGAGGAUGCAGCAGCACCAGGGUGGGCCUGGGGUGCUGCAGCUGAGGUAGUAGUUUGAGGCAGAGGGGAAGCCUGCCGCUUAGCCAGGGUUUGGCCAAGCUGCAGGCAGGAAUGGUCAAUCAGGCUGAUAGGGCUGCUCUCCAGGACAUGGGCAGGGAGUGGCUUCUCCACCAAAUCCCAUAAAUUAAGGCAACUGGAUACAUCAGGGCAGUCAGGGUGUAAAAAUACUCAAAUACUCGCAGCUGCCAGAGGCUUGGAAGGCGGUAGGAGAGCUAGAGGAAUGGGCUACAGCUGGGCAGCUGGAGAGAGGGUUUGAAAACUACCAGUAGAAAAGCAGCUUUGGUUGCAAACCAGUAGCAGUUUUAAGCCACCAUGGUUGCUUGGCUGUAAACGGGCUGCCAGCUUUUAAGAAAAGGAACAAGAAAAGCCAAGUUCUAGAAUCUCUGCGUGCUCACCAAAAUGUAAAGAUUAAAAUUAAUAUCCAUUACUCCAAGCAUUAUAUUUAAUAAUGUUUAUUAAAUAUUUAUCUUGAAGUAUAAGGAAAUAAGGCUAGCAAAAACCAAGAGCCAUUCUUCCCUCUCUCCUCCACCAUGGAACCAGAGAAAGAGUGUGGGCGGAAACAGGAACUCAAAACUCCCCCCCAGGUAAGGAGACACACAAACAGGAAAGGGAAAAGGGGAUUGUGGAAAAUAUGGUCUCUAAGGUUCAAGAUUCUAAAUCAAUACGUGUUCCAUAGGCACUGUGCAGGUACUCUGUACUUCUUUAGCACUGUACAGUGGCUCUUUUUGUAUUCCUUCUCUUCUCUAAUCUGACAAAAUCAUUAAGCAAAGUCUCAUAAGUCUUUUAAACAGUCAAUGGCAUUAUAUGUAUAGUCUAAAGCUUUUGGAGUAUGCAUUAUUAUUAAAAUAGUAGAUAAUGCACAUUCAAAAAAAGUACCAAAGUCCCCACAAAGAGGGCUUGGGAGGAGUUAAAGCCCACUUAAAUACAAUCACACAAAUGAGAGGACUCAGGAAAAGAAAAAAGGAUUCUAGGUAAUAAAGAAAGGAAUUUUGGGUAAUGUAGUUUUAGGGGUUCAAGAAUUUCUAACUAUACACUUUGGAUACAUAUUCAGAAUGUAAACCUCACUAUCCUUUAGUAUAUUUUCUUUUAUGUUCUGAUCCCAUCCCCACCCCUAAAACAAAAUCAUCUUUUGGCUAUAGUGAAGAUCCCCUUCAUACUGAGGAAAUCUGAUCUUUAGAAGAAAGCCAUGUUGUUCAUUCCAGAAGGCAUCUUGGUAGGCAUCUAGAACUUGUCUUCUGCUGCUACACUUCCAAAGCCUAGGACCACCUUUGUGCAAUGGGAAAAUGAAAAGUGUAAUGGAUGGGGAAAUGGAGCCACCCACUACAUAUAUUUUGAGAAUAGAGAGAGAAGUGGAAUGGAGUCAGAAGAUGGAGAAGUGGGAGAGAUUAGUCCUCCCCUCUCCCUAGUGAGGACAGCUCAAGUUGUCUGUGGAAAGAACACACUAGGUCCCUUCAGAGAUUGAGUUGAAUGUAAAAUCAAGGGCUGAAACUGAUUCUCCCUUCUUGAGGAGAAAGUACAGUCUUACUCCCCAAGCUUCAGAUUUCUCUCCCUGGAUAUUAUGAGGCAGACACUUGAUCUAAAGAAUAACUAUUUAUUCUUAAAGGACACAUAGAAGACAGGAUGAAUAAAUAGGGUUGUGGAGUAAGGAAAUGGAAAGUAGGAAAACCCUAAGAGCUAACAACUGACCCCCUCCCCCAAAUCCUGAAGGAUCAGGCUGCUUGCCUGACCCUCCUUGGUCAGUUGUGAGAGCUGUCCUGAUUUCUAUCUUCCCUAGUUGUACUGUAAAGUUCAAGGACAAAUUUAGGGGAUGGAGAGGAAAGUCUUCUUUGUUUGUAUGGCUUUAUAAUAAAAGUCCUAUCCACUCCCUUUCUCAUUAGCUGGAGCCAAGGGAUUUGGGUUCACAGAGAGAUGGUUAAUGCUCAGAAGGUCCUCUGCCUCCGAGAUUUCUCUUAAAUCAACCACCCUUGAGGAGUUCCCAAAGAUAAGUGAAGUAACUGCUUUUGAAUAUUCUCAGCUCUUCUGUUCUUUCCCAGAAUUCUCUGUCUUCCCUUGCUCCUCCCCCACUUGGGUUGCUUUUCUUGCAUACUGAAUAUGAUUUUCCUCUCUUAGAAAGGUCUGGACAUUACACAGGGACCUAAAUUCUGAUAGCAGAAACAGGGAAAGGCACAAAUUCUGUGAUUUCACUCUAUGUGAAACUCCCUCAGCCAAUGAAGGUUGGCAUUUCCUCUGUAACUAACUAUGAUCAUAGAUGUCUAUGGGUCAUCAGUUGUGGUCACAUAGCCAGGAUGUGUCAAACAUGAAAUUUGAAACCAAUUCUUCCUGACUUAAAGGCUGGUUCUCUACUAACUAUGCUACCUGCAUUCUUACAUAUGUAUAGAAUAAGUUGAAAUCAAUCUUGACCUGUUGGGUUAGUUUAAUUUAAUUUAACUCAGUUUUAUUAAUGUGUUUUGGUUUUAUGUUAUAGUUAUUCACAGAUUUCUAUCCACAACUCACCUUACAAGAUGAAUGGUCAAUAAGAUUAGCUAAAAGGUACAAAGCACUCUCUCUAUUUUUUUUUUUAAACUCUUGCCUUCUGUUUUAAAAUUGAUAGUAUCACUUCCAAGGCAGAGGAGCAAUAAGGCCUAGGCAAUGGUGGCUAUGUGACUUCGCCAGGGUCAUACAGAUAGGAAGUAUCUGAAGCCAGAUUUUAACCUAGAACUUCCCAUCUUCAGGUCUGAUUCUAUCCACAUAGCCAUCUAAGUAACCCAAUUCUUAGAGUUAUUUGUAAAUAUUUGCUGUUAGGCCCUUGUAUAAAAGAAAUUCAGUUAAGCAAAAUUAAGUUCAUAGUACACUUUACUGACAUUGACAGUUCCCUAUUUCUCCAACAAAGGGAAGAUAGUUGAUUUCUUGUUCUCUUUUCUGAGGCCAAAAUAUGACCCCUUUAUUUUAUUUUAAUUGGUUUAAAUUUUUCUCCCUAAAAUGACAUAUUUAUUAUGUUUGGUCAUUUUUUAUACAUUCAUUUUCAAAUUUAUCAUUACUUUUUCCCAUAUCCUAUGUUUCUUAUAAUAGGAAAUUAAAAAGAAAGAAGACAUAAAUUAUGUUUCAACACAUUAUAUAUGGCUUAAAGUCUAUGUAAAAUUCUUCAAUAAUCCCAUAAUAAAACAGAAAAAAGAGAGGAAGGUGAAUUUCUUUUACAGGAUCCAAGUCGGUGACAAUCAUUACAUAGUAUUCAUUUUUUGUAUUUUUAUUGUUCCUUCCAAUAAAAUAAAUAUACUGUA
This is a long non-coding RNA of Monodelphis domestica (gray short-tailed opossum), 7389 nucleotides long. RefSeq lists it as uncharacterized. NCBI's taxonomy places the organism in Eukaryota, Metazoa, Chordata, Mammalia, Didelphimorphia, Didelphidae. The record is from RefSeq and is a predicted model, not a curated record.